GACGAACGCUGGCGGCGUGCUUAACACAUGCAAGUCGAACGGAAAGGCCCUGCUUGCAGGGUCCUCGAGUGGCGAACGGGUGAGUAACACGUGGGUGAUCUGCCCUGCACUUCGGGAUAAGCUUGGGAAACUGGGUCUAAUACCGGAUAGGAGCCAUCUUUAGUGUGGUGGUUGGAAAGUUUUUUCGGUGUAGGAUGAGCUCGCGGCCUAUCAGCUUGUUGGUGGGGUAAUGGCCUACCAAGGCGGCGACGGGUAGCCGGCCUGAGAGGGUGUACGGCCACAUUGGGACUGAGAUACGGCCCAGACUCCUACGGGAGGCAGCAGUGGGGAAUAUUGCACAAUGGGCGCAAGCCUGAUGCAGCGACGCCGCGUGGGGGAUGAAGGCCUUCGGGUUGUAAACUCCUUUCGCUAGGGACGAAGCUUUGUUGUGACGGUACCUAGAUAAGAAGCACCGGCUAACUACGUG
This 466-nucleotide ribosomal RNA is filed under the name uncultured bacterium. RNAcentral's name for it is "partial 16S ribosomal RNA". It matches the Rfam family "Bacterial small subunit ribosomal RNA", at positions 28 to 507 of the family's 1533-position model. The record is from RNAcentral.